Cryptomeria japonica (Japanese cedar) is the source of this 1208-nucleotide long non-coding RNA. RefSeq lists it as uncharacterized. NCBI's taxonomy places the organism in Eukaryota, Viridiplantae, Streptophyta, Pinopsida, Cupressales, Cupressaceae. The transcript has 5 exons. The record is from RefSeq and is a predicted model, not a curated record.
UACCGAAGGUACCAAACAUGGCAUCGCCAUACAACCAUGCAAAAGGGCUCUUUGGCCGCUGGGAAAAAGAAACCGACAACAUGUAAUCAUCAAUGUGAAGCAACAAAGGGGCGGGAAAUUGUACCACCGUCAAUAAAAGGCACGAUCGGCGGGAAUUUUUUAAUCAUUGAUAAAUAUGUCAAAAACACGACAUGUCUUAAAGGACAUGGGUGCAUUUUUUACCAAAACACAUAGGGUUUGAUAAGUUGCAGCUUUGACAAGAAGGAAAAACAAGGGUUUGUGUGACUGCGUGAAAGAGGGAGCUUCAAUUGGAGGGUGGAUAUCAAAGAUUUCGACUACACAAAACAAUGAUGCAACCAAGGAUCGUGUUUGGCUUUGCAGGCAUGGUGGAAGCCAACACAUAACACCUGAAGUUCCUCAAUCAUAAUUGUUUACAUUCUCUUGCAAUGGUAAAAGGGGGAGGAAGGGCAACAAGCAAUCUUAGCAAACAAGGGGAGCACAUGUCAAAGCAUCAUUAACUUCUAGCCCACGAAGUCCCCAUUGACGUCUAUCUUUUUACAGCACUACGGGUGCACAACGUAUGGAUUAUAGAGAAUAGUAAAUGGGAGGUGGACGACACUGGUAUUAGUUUUGCAACAUUAAUAGAGAUAUGACUUUCAUAACUUUUACUGAUAAAAGGAGAUUGUCAGGCAUUGUAGAAGAUUACAAUCCACACUUUGUAUGUUUCACAAGGGCGUACCAACAGUUGCUCGGUUGGCACGUCAGCAUGCAGGGAGACGUUCUGGGCCAGCCAAUACUACAAUUCGACAUUGCAUCUUGGCACUGGUUUCUAACUGUAAGGGAUCAUACAUGACAGGUUGAGGAUAUCAAUUUCUCUCUUUUGUAUUGGUCAUCAUUGUUCCCUCACAUUGUUGUAUCCUGUACCACGACAUAUACAAACAAUCAAGGACAUGUGACACCGUUAGUGCCAAUGAAUGGAUAGAAAAUUCUUGUGACAAUUUUCCCACAAAUCUGUUGGUCUUGGAGUAUACGGACAUGUUUACUAGACGAUGCAGAGUCGGAAAUCGAAAUUGAUUUUCGAGGAUUCUAUCUAGAUUUCCAUGAUAGUCAUUGAUAAGUAACAUUUUUGGUUCUUGCUAAUUUGUAAGACAUUGAUAUGUAACACAAAAACCACUUUGUUGAUGACUGGAAGCAAUGCAUUUUAAUCA